AACGAAUGAUGGAUUGUCGGGAU
RNAcentral lists this non-coding RNA (23 nucleotides) under Arabidopsis thaliana (thale cress). The record is from RNAcentral. Lineage: Eukaryota; Viridiplantae; Streptophyta; Magnoliopsida; Brassicales; Brassicaceae.